RNAcentral lists this long non-coding RNA (617 nucleotides) under Olea europaea subsp. europaea. Lineage: Eukaryota; Viridiplantae; Streptophyta; Magnoliopsida; Lamiales; Oleaceae. The record is from RNAcentral.
UUUUUAAUUCAUUAAUAAUAGACUUUUUGUAUAUGAAUGGUUAGUUUUUUAUUACCAAUAUCCCAAAAAUAAAAUAACAUAAAAGAGGUGUAAAAGUGAGUGUACAAGAGAUUGUUAUCUUCCUCGGCAUAGUUCUACAUACACCAAUUUCUUGAAAAUAUUAAGGAACUAAUUGGUGCAAAUUUUGGUUGAACAUACAAACAAACAAUACUAAUGCAAGGAAAUAAGCAAAUUCCUCAUCUCCCUUGUGGAUCAGACAUUGUCAAUUCAUUGGAAAUUGAAUCCGGUUUAUUUGAGGAUGAGGAUGAUAUGCUGAAAACAAGAUAUCUCAUUACAAAAGCUGGUUUCUUGGGAACUGGAACAACUAUAGUUUCGCCACUGAGCAUUAGGACUACAUCUGACACAGUGGGGCGAUCAUUGGGAUCUUCUUCCACACACAAAAGCCCAACACUAAUGCAUUUCAUAACUUCAGAUUUCUCACAAGAUUCAAGCAGUAUUGGGUCCACCGAAUCGAAUACCUUGUUUUACUCCACAAUCUCCAUACCUGCAGGAAUAGCUUCAAAAUAUUCUAGACUAUGAAUUGGCUAAAAUGUUGCAUAUAAAUGGAGAAAUUUAUC